This 439-nucleotide ribosomal RNA is filed under the name uncultured bacterium. RNAcentral's name for it is "partial 16S ribosomal RNA". It matches the Rfam family "Bacterial small subunit ribosomal RNA", at positions 339 to 795 of the family's 1533-position model. The record is from RNAcentral.
CUACGGGAUGCUCCAGUGGGGAAUAUUGCACAAUGGAGGAAACUCUGAUGCAGCAACGCCGCGUGGAGGAUGACACUUUUCGGAGCGUAAACUCCUUUUAUAUAGGAAGAAGAUGACGGUACUAUAUGAAUAAGCGCCGGCUAACUCCGUGCCAGCAGCCGCGGUAAUACGGAGGGCGCAAGCGUUACUCGGAAUCACUGGGCGUAAAGAGCGUGUAGGCGGAUUAAAAAGUCAGAAGUGAAAUCCUAUAGCUUAACUAUAGAACUGCUUCUGAAACUCUUAAUCUAGAAUAUGGGAGAGGUAGAUGGAAUUUCUGGUGUAGGGGUAAAAUCCGUAGAGAUCGGAAGGAAUACCGAUUGCGAAGGCGAUCUACUAGAACAUUAUUGACGCUGAGACGCGAAAGCGUGGGGAGCAAACAGGUUUAGAUACCCCUGUAGUC